UAAGUAAACAUGAUAAUCUUAAAUAAAUUAUUAUUUCAAUAUAAAUGUAAAUAGUAUCCACGAAAAAAUUAACAGAAGAAUAACGGCAGGAAAUAAACAUAGAUAUCAACAAAGUCGGAUUGAAAAAAGACUGUUAGUAUUCAAAAGGAAAAUCCUACAUAGAAUCCAUGGGCCUAAAAGAAACCAGUAAUCUAUAUUCUAUACUUCACAUCUCAUAUACAUCGACAAUAAUAAUUGAUUCAUCGUCGAUUCGUAGAUUCUAUAUGCACACAUUCUGAGGUGGGUCGUAUAAUAUUAUAAUACAUAUACAUUGAAAUUCAAAUUUUACAGAAAAAACAUAAAACUUAUUUUAUGUAACUUAUUAUGUUCCUUUUUCGAAAUAAAUGAAAUAAAGAUA
Molecule: long non-coding RNA, 397 nt
Organism: Aphis gossypii (cotton aphid)
Lineage: Eukaryota; Metazoa; Arthropoda; Insecta; Hemiptera; Aphididae
Exons: 2
Source: RefSeq, a predicted model, not a curated record